This is a transfer RNA of Puccinia triticina 1-1 BBBD Race 1, 86 nucleotides long. It matches the Rfam family "tRNA". From Rfam's summary of the family: Transfer RNA (tRNA) molecules are approximately 80 nucleotides in length. Their secondary structure includes four short double-helical elements and three loops (D, anti-codon, and T loops). Lineage: Eukaryota; Fungi; Basidiomycota; Pucciniomycetes; Pucciniales; Pucciniaceae. The record is from Rfam.
GCUUCUGUAGCCUAGUUGGUAAAGGCAGCACUCUGGUAUGUGUCUCAGCAUAGCUGAGGUUGUGAGUUCGACUCUCACCAGAUACA